Molecule: small nucleolar RNA, 132 nt
Filed under: Meriones unguiculatus (Mongolian gerbil)
Lineage: Eukaryota; Metazoa; Chordata; Mammalia; Rodentia; Muridae
Description: Small nucleolar RNA SNORA14 (ENSMUGG00000004910.1)
Rfam family: Small nucleolar RNA SNORA14
About the family: ACA14 is a member of the H/ACA class of snoRNA that guide the sites of modification of uridines to pseudouridines.
Source: RNAcentral
CUGCAUUCUUAAACCCUCUUGGAGGCUGCUCCGGUGCCUCCAGGAUAUGAGUGAAUGCUAGAGCAAGCGCGGGGGAGUCCAAAGGGCUGCGCUCCUCACGUGGCUCCGUCCUAUUUCAUGCCCCCGACAUCU